AAGUCGUAACAAGGUUUCCGUAGGUGAACCUGCGGAAGGAUCAUUAACACGUAUCCACGUAUUUAUCAACCAACUACCACGAACCGUUCUCCCCGAGACUUACCUAACCGCAAGGCUGUGUUGUAAGGUUAAGGCGGGCCCCGCCUGUGCGCUUGUACGUACGGCCGUAAGGACCAUCUUAUGACACUAUCGAUCCGUUGAGAUCGUGGCUGAGCACCUGGUUUGUCGGGCUUUAUUAUCAUUCCAAUAGCACUUCACCGUCUGCGUGUGCGUUGGUUUGAGACCAUAACCUGUUUCACCCUAUUUUGACCAAUUGGCUAAUAUUAACGAUUGAGAGAGAAAUCUCUUGAUCUCUAAGAUUUAUCUUAACUAAGCACAACUCUUAGCAAUGGAUAUCUUGGUUCUC
Molecule: unclassified non-coding RNA, 406 nt
Filed under: fungal sp.
Lineage: Eukaryota; Fungi
Description: partial internal transcribed spacer region
Rfam family: Eukaryotic small subunit ribosomal RNA (bases 1-46)
Source: RNAcentral